This 500-nucleotide ribosomal RNA is filed under the name uncultured bacterium. Its description in RNAcentral is "bacterial SSU rRNA". It matches the Rfam family "Bacterial small subunit ribosomal RNA", at positions 30 to 524 of the family's 1533-position model. The record is from RNAcentral.
AUUGAACGCUGGCGGCAUGCCUUACACAUGCAAGUCGAACGGUAACAGGUCUUCGGAUGCUGACGAGUGGCGAGCGGGUGAGUAAUACAUCGGAACGUGCCCGAUCGUGGGGGAUAACGCAGCGAAAGCUGUGCUAAUACCGCAUACGAUCUACGGAUGAAAGCGGGGGAUCGCAAGACCUCGCGCGGACGGAGCGGCCGAUGGCAGAUUAGGUAGUUGGUGGGAUAAAAGCUUACCAAGCCGACGAUCUGUAGCUGGUCUGAGAGGACGACCAGCCACACUGGGACUGAGACACGGCCCAGACUCCUACGGGAGGCAGCAGUGGGGAAUUUUGGACAAUGGGGGAAACCCUGAUCCAGCCAUGCCGCGUGCAGGAUGAAGGCCUUCGGUUGUAAACUGCUUUUGUACGGUAACGAAAGGUACCUUUCUAAUAAAGAGGACUCAUGACGGUACCGUAAGAAUAAGACACCGGCUAACUACGUGCCAGCAGCCGCGGUAAA